RNAcentral lists this ribosomal RNA (238 nucleotides) under uncultured bacterium. RNAcentral describes it as "partial 16S ribosomal RNA". It matches the Rfam family "Bacterial small subunit ribosomal RNA", at positions 96 to 334 of the family's 1533-position model. The record is from RNAcentral.
UGGCGGACGGGUGAGUAACGCGUGGGUAACCUGCCUCACACUGGGGGACAACAGUUAGAAAUGACUGCUAAUACCGCAUAAGCGCACAGGACCGCAUGGUCCGGUGUGAAAAACUCCGGUGGUGUGAGAUGGACCCGCGUUUGAUUAGCUAGUUGGUGGGGUAACGGCCUACCAAGGCGACGAUCAAUAGCCGACCUGAGAGGGUGACCGGCCACAUUGGGACUGAGACACGGCCCAG